AGAAGCAGUGGGUCAUCCAUAGGCGGGCAGCCCUGAACAGAGCUGGGAUGGGGAGAGGACGGGAUUCCGGGCCCAGAAGGGGCCCUGGGUGGAGCCAGAGCUGGGCAAGUCCGGGCUGGGCCUAAUGCCCCCUGUGCCUACUCCCCAGUUCCAGUGCCCAGGGCUGCGGCGGAAACCCAGGACCUCCUGGAGCAGAACUUUCCGAGGAGGAGGUGCAGCAGGACCCCUGGGGCUGGGGUUUCUGGACCCUUUAAGCAGGAAGAAGCACUUGCGUUGGGGGCAGGUGAGAGAAGGCCCACUGCCCGAAGGCUCGACCUUGGAGCAAGAGGGGACGGGGACCGGGCGGAGCCUGCGCAGACGGCCGGCCGGGGCUGGGGCCGGGAGGCGAGGAGGAGCGCGCGGCGGGGGCGAUCGGGGGCAGGGGGUGCGGAGAAGAGCGGGGAGGGUCCCCACCUGGCCUGUCGGCUCCGGGUCGCUCGCCGUCCGUUCGGCAGCCUGCCCGCGCCCGCCCCCAGCCCGGAAGCGGGACCCGCCCCCCGCACGACCGGUCCCGGCGCUCCGGGCUCUCAGGUUGCGUCAGGAUCGGGCGGACCGGAGCCGUCCCCUCCCUCGGCCGCGAGCCAUCCCGAGUACGGCGGGGCGGGGCCGAGCUGGGCCGGAGGGCGGUGGGCGUCUCCUUGCCGAUCCCCGCGGAGGCAGCCCUGUGCCGGCGCGGCCCCACCCCGCGGCCCGGCCCGCGGGCACCUGGGCUCGGCGGCCACCCGGCCCUCCGCCGGCUCGGAGCUCGCUGGGUGUGGACGCCCCGGGAAGCUUCUUCCAGGCGCCUCGGGAGAAGGGAGCAAGCUGCCCAGACGACCUCGGAGUGCGCCCCAGCGCGCCGCGGUUGCGGGGACGGGGGAGUCGGGGAGCGACGCGGGAGGCUGGAAUUGAGGGUCCUGGCAGCCAGGAGUUCGAACCCUGGAGAAAGCCUUCACUCCCCACAGGCGCUGUGGGCAGGGGGCCCUCCACACCACCCUCCCUGGCCGACCCUGCGGCACUCGUGCUGAUGUAGCCAGACAGCAGGUCAGUCCCGUGACCACCGGGAGGACGGCUGCCCCUCCCUGGCGUGCUCCUCUGUGGACUGAAAGCUGCCUGGCUGCCUGCCCAGGUCUGAGGUGGGCUCAAGCUGUGAAGGGCUCUAGAAAAGGAACGGUGGGGGAUAGGUGGUUUCCCAAGAGCAGCAGCAGCUGAAGGGGGCCCCCUUACCCCAGGGAUCAGGCAGACAGGGGGCCAAAAGGGUAGGGACAUCAUCCACACCCUGGCCCCUGUCCCACCCCCGGCUUUGCACUCCUUUGCUGGCCUUUGAAGCUGAUCCCAGGGGGAGAGGGGGAAGUGGGCCGCUUUAAGGGCGCAGGCUUCGGGCUGCACCCUGGCUGCGGCAGGGCUCCCCACUGACCGGCCUCUAGCCACCUCAGUGUCCCCCCAUAUGUUGGGGGGUUGAAGGGCAGCCACAUGGCUCCCUCCCUUUGGCCCACCUCUGCUGCACCCCUGAAAGAGCCCCCGUUCCAGACCCUUCUUCCUCCACAAGCCCCUGUCAGCACCUGACAGGACACGGCCCAGGGACACAAGGGGCCCCCACUUUGCUACACGGCUGAACUGGUGGAGCCUGCGGCCCCCGCAGAGUCCCCGGCCCGGCGUGCACCUCUCUCCACAUCCUUGAACUUGAUGGUUCUGCGCCGGGGGAGCCGGGGACUGGCAGCCACCUCAGCCAGGAGCCCGGGGCCACAGAAGCUCAGGCUGCUGCCCCGGUUCCUGAGCACCAGCUUCAGCUCCUGGUUCUCCUGGAUGAGCUGCACCAGCCGCCUCAGCUCCUCGUUCUCCUGUGCCAGCCGCUGGAUCUCCUGCCGCAGGCCCUCGUAGCUGCUGAGGAGCGACAUGCCCGGCAGUGGUGGGCAGCAGCUGCUGGCGGCAGGCAGGCUGGCCAGGGGGCAGCGGACCCUGCCAUUGUGAGUAUUCUUGCCUGGAGAAUUCCAUGGGCAGAGGAGCCUUGCAGGCUACAGCCCAUGGGGUUGCAGAGUCGGAUACGACUAAGCAACUAACAACACAGCUAAAGGGAGAUGAUUGGACAGCAUCAUCGACUCAACGGACAUGCAUCUGAGCAAACUCCAGGAGAUGGUGAAGGAGGACAGGGAAGACUGGCCUGCUGCAGUCCGUGGGGUUGCAGAGUUGGACAUGACUUAGUGACUGAACAAGCUAAAGGAGCUGUUACCUGAAAACAACUUUAUACCCAAGCUAGUUAAGUUAUAAAAAUAAUCUUUGAUUAAACAUGUUAGAGGGGAGACUAAACUAUCUUCUCUUUAUAUAGAAGGGGACAUCAUGAAAGUGUCACCAUCUUAAGAGGCCAUCAGAUUUUGUAUCCAAAAAGCACAGGGGAAACACGUUAGAGAAAUAUAUCAGGAAGUUAAUUGAGGA
Bubalus bubalis (water buffalo) is the source of this 2451-nucleotide RNA transcript. It is a transcript of the gene named basic proline-rich protein, with no coding region annotated. Lineage: Eukaryota; Metazoa; Chordata; Mammalia; Artiodactyla; Bovidae. The record is from RefSeq and is a predicted model, not a curated record. The transcript is spliced from 2 exons.